AUUUUGACGUUAGCUGCAGAAGAAGCACCGGCUAACUCCGUGCCAGCAGCCGCGGUAAUACGGAGGGUGCGAUCGUUAAUCGGAAUUACUGGGCGUAAAGCGCAUGCAGGUGGUUUGUUAAGUCAGAUGUGAAAGCCCGGGGCUCAACCUCGGAAUUGCAUUUGAAACUGGCAAACUAGAGUACUGUAGAGGGGGUAGAAUUUCAGGUGUAGCGGUGAAAUGCGUAGAGAUCUGAAGGAAUACCGGUGGCGAAGGCGGCCCCCUGGACAGAUACUGACACUCAGAUGCGAAAGCGUGGGGAGCAAACAGGAUUAGAUACCCUGGUAG
This 327-nucleotide ribosomal RNA is filed under the name uncultured bacterium. RNAcentral's name for it is "bacterial SSU rRNA". It matches the Rfam family "Bacterial small subunit ribosomal RNA", at positions 466 to 793 of the family's 1533-position model. The record is from RNAcentral.